Molecule: ribosomal RNA, 368 nt
Filed under: uncultured organism
Description: bacterial SSU rRNA
Rfam family: Bacterial small subunit ribosomal RNA
Source: RNAcentral
CGGAGGGUGCAAGCGUUAUCCGGAUUUACUGGGUUUAAAGGGUGCGUAGGCGGAUAAGUAAGUCCGUGGUGAAAUCCUGCAGCUUAACCGCAGAACUGCCGUGGAUACUAUUUGUCUUGAAUAUCGUGGAGGUUAGCGGAAUAUGUCAUGUAGCGGUGAAAUGCUUAGAUAUGACAUAGAACACCCAUUGCGAAGGCAGCUAACUACGCGAUUAUUGACGCUGAUGCACGAAAGCGUGGGGAUCAAACAGGAUUAGAUACCCUGGUAGUCCACGCCCUAAACGAUGAUUACUCGACAUUGGCGAUACACUGUCAGUGUCUGAGCGAAAGCAUUAAGUAAUCCACCUGGGAAGUACGAUCGCAAGAUUG